GNCUAACUACGUGCCAGCAGCCGCGGUAAUACGUAGGGCGCGAGCGUUNUCCGGAAUUAUUGGGCGUAAAGAGNUCGUAGGCGGCUGGUCGCGUCUGUCGUGAANUCCUCUGGCUUAACUGGGGGCUUGCGGUGGGUACGGGCCGGCUUGAGUGCGGUAGGGGAGACUGGAACUCCUGGUGUAGCGGUGGAAUGCGCAGAUAUCAGGAAGAACACCGGUGGCGAAGGCGGGUCUCUGGGCCGUUACUGACGCUGAGGAGCGAAAGCGUGGGGAGCGAACAGGAUUAGAUACCCUGGUAGUCCACGCCGUAAACGUUGGGCACUAGGUGUGGGGGGCCUUUUCCGGGUCUUCCGCGCCGUAGCUAACGCAUUAAGUGCCCCGCCUGGGGAGUACGGCCGCAAGGCUAAAACUCAAAGGAAUUGACGGGGGCCCGCACAAGCGGCGGAGCAUGCGGAUUAAUUCGAUGCAACGCGAAGAACCUUACCAAGGCUUGACAUGUGCCGGUCGGCUCCGGAGACGGGGCUUCCUCCUUGUGGGGCCGGUUCACAGGUGGUGCAUGGUUGUCGUCAGCUCGUGUCGUGAGAUGUUGGGUUAAGUCCCGCAACGAGCGCAACCCUUGUCCCGUGUUGCCAGCACGUUGUGGUGGGGACUCGCGGGAGACUGCCGGGGUCAACUCGGAGGAAGGUGGGGAUGACGUCAAAUCAUCAUGCCCCUUAUGUCUUGGGCUUCACGCAUGCUACAAUGGCCGGUACAGAGGGCUGCGAUACCGUGAGGUGGAGCGAAUCCCUUAAAGCCGGUCUCAGUUCGGAUCGGUGUCUGCAACUCGACACCGUGAAGUUGGAGUCGCUAGUAAUCGCAGAUCAGCAACGCUGCGGUGAAUACGUUCUCGGGCCUCGUACACACCGCCCGUCACGUCAUGAAAGUCGGCAACAC
Molecule: ribosomal RNA, 933 nt
Filed under: uncultured bacterium
Lineage: Bacteria
Description: bacterial SSU rRNA
Rfam family: Bacterial small subunit ribosomal RNA
Source: RNAcentral